This 69-nucleotide transfer RNA is filed under the name Ictidomys tridecemlineatus (thirteen-lined ground squirrel). RNAcentral's name for it is "Spermophilus tridecemlineatus (thirteen-lined ground squirrel) tRNA". It matches the Rfam family "tRNA". Rfam says of the family: Transfer RNA (tRNA) molecules are approximately 80 nucleotides in length. Their secondary structure includes four short double-helical elements and three loops (D, anti-codon, and T loops). Further hydrogen bonds mediate the characteristic L-shaped molecular structure. tRNAs have two regions of fundamental functional importance: the anti-codon, which is responsible for specific mRNA codon recognition, and the 3' end, to which the tRNAs corresponding amino acid is attached (by aminoacyl-tRNA synthetases). tRNAs cope with the degeneracy of the genetic code in two manners: having more than one tRNA (with a specific anti-codon) for a particular amino acid; and 'wobble' base-pairing, i.e. permitting non-standard base-pairing at the 3rd anti-codon position. The record is from Rfam by way of RNAcentral. Lineage: Eukaryota; Metazoa; Chordata; Mammalia; Rodentia; Sciuridae.
GGGGUUGUAGCUCAAUGGUAGAGUACCCACCUCACAUGUGUGAGGUACUGGGUUCGAUCCUUAGCACCA